CCGUUGGAGCUUGCUCCAAUCCGGGAUAGAACCCUUGCUUUUUGAGUACCUUCUCUGUUUCCUCGGUGGGCUCGCCCGCCGGUGGACAACCAAAAACUCUCUGUAAUAGCAGUAUCUUCUGAGAAAAACAAAUAGUCA
RNAcentral lists this unclassified non-coding RNA (138 nucleotides) under uncultured Pleosporales. Its description in RNAcentral is "sequence contains ITS1". The record is from RNAcentral. Lineage: Eukaryota; Fungi; Ascomycota; Dothideomycetes; Pleosporales.